GGAAGCGUCCCUGCUCGGUCCUGAAGUGUUCCCAGUCUCUGCACCCGAAGGUGGGCAGACUGUGGACCGGAACGAAGCCCUCAUAGCCCUGGUACCUGGAACACACCUGGACAGGUGAGACGUUACAGGAGAACAGGUGUCAGGAUGAACGCUGGCGACAGGAACACGUGUGUUGUCAUGGUAACUGCAAUGAUCCUCCUCAUCAUGUCUGUCUGGAACUCACCUGAACAGGCCCGGGCUUCCUGUGUGCUGAUGUUCUGGUACAGCUGGAAGGAUCCGUCCGUCCAUCGGUAGAUUCCUGAACCGGAUCGAGAGUCCCUGGAGAAGAUGGAGUGUUACCAUGGAGACACAGAGGC
Molecule: long non-coding RNA, 356 nt
Organism: Acanthochromis polyacanthus (spiny chromis)
Lineage: Eukaryota; Metazoa; Chordata; Actinopteri; Pomacentridae
Exons: 3
Source: RefSeq, a predicted model, not a curated record